CUCUUAUUAACUCAAAGGUAGAUCAGAAUACUUCUAAUAUUCUGAUUUAAGUUCGAAUCUUAAAUAAGAAU
RNAcentral lists this transfer RNA (71 nucleotides) under Aspergillus affinis. RNAcentral describes it as "tRNA-Arg". It matches the Rfam family "tRNA". Rfam says of the family: Transfer RNA (tRNA) molecules are approximately 80 nucleotides in length. Their secondary structure includes four short double-helical elements and three loops (D, anti-codon, and T loops). Further hydrogen bonds mediate the characteristic L-shaped molecular structure. tRNAs have two regions of fundamental functional importance: the anti-codon, which is responsible for specific mRNA codon recognition, and the 3' end, to which the tRNAs corresponding amino acid is attached (by aminoacyl-tRNA synthetases). tRNAs cope with the degeneracy of the genetic code in two manners: having more than one tRNA (with a specific anti-codon) for a particular amino acid; and 'wobble' base-pairing, i.e. permitting non-standard base-pairing at the 3rd anti-codon position. Lineage: Eukaryota; Fungi; Ascomycota; Eurotiomycetes; Eurotiales; Aspergillaceae. The record is from RNAcentral.